GGGCUCGCAGGCGGUUUCUUAAGUCUGAUGUGAAAGCCCCCGGCUCAACCGGGGAGGGUCAUUGGAAACUGGGGAACUUGAGUGCAGAAGAGGAGAGUGGAAUUCCACGUGUAGCGGUGAAAUGCGUAGAGAUGUGGAGGAACACCAGUGGCGAAGGCGACUCUCUGGUCUGUAACUGACGCUGAGGAGCGAAAGCGUGGGGAGCGAACAGGAUUAGAUACCCUGGUAGUCCACGCCGUAAACGAUGAGUGCUAAGUGUUAGGGGGUUUCCGCCCCUUAGUGCUGCAGCUAACGCAUUAAGCACUCCGCCUGGGGAGUACGGUCGCAAGACUGAAACUCAAAGGAAUUGACGGGGGCCCGCACAAGCGGUGGAGCAUGUGGUUUAAUUCGAAGCAACGCGAAGAACCUUACCAGGUCUUGACAUCCUCUGACAAUCCUAGAGAUAGGACGUCCCCUUCGGGGGCAGAGUGACAGGUGGUGCAUGGUUGUCGUCAGCUCGUGUCGUGAGAUGUUGGGUUAAGUCCCGCAACGAGCGCAACCCUUGAUCUUAAUUGCCAGCAUUC
RNAcentral lists this ribosomal RNA (563 nucleotides) under Bacillus amyloliquefaciens. RNAcentral's name for it is "bacterial SSU rRNA". It matches the Rfam family "Bacterial small subunit ribosomal RNA", at positions 565 to 1126 of the family's 1533-position model. Lineage: Bacteria; Bacillati; Bacillota; Bacilli; Caryophanales; Bacillaceae. The record is from RNAcentral.